This 206-nucleotide ribosomal RNA is filed under the name uncultured bacterium. RNAcentral's name for it is "partial 16S ribosomal RNA". It matches the Rfam family "Bacterial small subunit ribosomal RNA", at positions 1295 to 1500 of the family's 1533-position model. The record is from RNAcentral.
GGAUUGCAGCCUGCAACUCGGCUGCAUGAAGCCGGAAUCGCCAGUAAUCGCGGAUCAGAAUGCCGCGGUGAAUACGUUCCCGGGUCUUGUACACACCGCCCGUCACACCAUGGGAGCCGGUAAUACCCGAAGUCAGUAGUCUAACCGCAAGGAGGACGCUGCCGAAGGUAGGAUUGGCGACUGGGGUGAAGUCGUAACAAGGUAUC